GAGUUACUCCGUCCGUUUGAAAUUACUUGUCAUAAAAAUGAAUGUAUGUAUAAAUAAAAUACAUCUAGAUACAUUCAUUUUUUGGACGAGUAAUUUCAAACGGAGGGAGUACAUU
This is a non-coding RNA of Triticum aestivum (bread wheat), 115 nucleotides long. The record is from Rfam. NCBI's taxonomy places the organism in Eukaryota, Viridiplantae, Streptophyta, Magnoliopsida, Poales, Poaceae.